UGAAAAAGAAAAUUACUGGAUUCUGCACCUGGGACAGGGCAACACUGGAUGUACGUACAGAGUGGGGAAUGAGAGGCUGGAAAGCAGUGCUGUGGAAAGGGAUUUGGGGGUCCUGGUCAACAGCAAGUUGAAUAUG
This is a long non-coding RNA of Chiroxiphia lanceolata (lance-tailed manakin), 136 nucleotides long. RefSeq lists it as uncharacterized. The record is from RefSeq and is a predicted model, not a curated record. NCBI's taxonomy places the organism in Eukaryota, Metazoa, Chordata, Aves, Passeriformes, Pipridae. The transcript is spliced from 3 exons.